This 497-nucleotide ribosomal RNA is filed under the name uncultured bacterium. RNAcentral's name for it is "partial 16S ribosomal RNA". It matches the Rfam family "Bacterial small subunit ribosomal RNA", at positions 28 to 507 of the family's 1533-position model. The record is from RNAcentral.
GAUGAACGCUGGCGGCGUGCCUAAUACAUGCAAGUCGAGCGAACAGACGAGGAUCUUGCUCUUCUGACGUUAGCGGCGGACGGGUGAGUAACACGUGGAUAACCUACCUAUAAGACUGGGAUAACUUCGGGAAACCGGAGCUAAUACCGGAUAAUAUAUUGAACCGCAUGGUUCAAUAGUGAAAGACGGGUUUGCUGUCGCUUAUAGAUGGAUCCGCGCCGCAUUAGCUAGUUGGUAAGGUAACGGCUUACCAAGGCGACGAUGCGUAGCCGAACUGAGAGGGUGGUAGGCCACCUUGGAACGGAGACACGGUCCAGGCUACUACGGGAGGCAGCAGUCGGGAAUCUUACGCAAUGGGGGAGAGCCUGACGGAGCAACGCCGCGUGAGUGAUGAAGGUCUUCGGAUCGUAAAACUCUGUUAUUAGGGAAGAACAAAUGUGUAAGUAACUAUGCACGUAUUGACGGUACCUAAUCAGAAAGCAACGGCUAACUACGUG